GGGCAGUUAGCUCAGGUGGUUAGAGCGCUACAUUGACAUUGUAGAGGUCACUGGUUCGAGUCCAGUACUGCCCACCA
Molecule: transfer RNA, 77 nt
Filed under: Patescibacteria group bacterium
Lineage: Bacteria
Description: tRNA-Val
Rfam family: tRNA
About the family: Transfer RNA (tRNA) molecules are approximately 80 nucleotides in length. Their secondary structure includes four short double-helical elements and three loops (D, anti-codon, and T loops).
Source: RNAcentral